GCUCGGAUGGUGGAAUUGGUAGACACGUUGGACUUAAAAUCCAAUGGCCGAAUGUGGCCGUGCGGGUUCAAGUCCCGCUCCGAGUACAA
Molecule: transfer RNA, 89 nt
Filed under: Mesohalobacter halotolerans
Lineage: Bacteria; Pseudomonadati; Bacteroidota; Flavobacteriia; Flavobacteriales; Flavobacteriaceae
Description: Psychroflexus sp. WDS2C27 tRNA-Leu
Rfam family: tRNA
About the family: Transfer RNA (tRNA) molecules are approximately 80 nucleotides in length.
Source: RNAcentral